GGUGCUGCAUGGUUGUCGUCAGCUCGUGCCGUGAGGUGUCGGGUUAAGUCCCAUAACGAGCGCAACCCUUACCGUUAGUUACCAUCAGGUUAAGCUGGGGACUCUAGCGGGACUGCCAGUGAUAAACUGGAGGAAGGUGGGGAUGACGUCAAAUCAUCAUGCCCCUUAUGACCUGGGCUACAAACGUGAUACAAUGGCUGGAACAAAGGGAUGCGAAGCAGUGAUGUGGAGCGAAACCCAUAAAAACAGUCUCAGUUCGGAUUGAAGUCUGCAACUCGACUUCAUGAAGUCGGAAUCGCUAGUAAUCGCGGAUCAGAACGCCGCGGUGAAUACGUUCUCGGGGUUU
RNAcentral lists this ribosomal RNA (346 nucleotides) under uncultured Acholeplasma sp. Its description in RNAcentral is "bacterial SSU rRNA". It matches the Rfam family "Bacterial small subunit ribosomal RNA", at positions 1037 to 1382 of the family's 1533-position model. Lineage: Bacteria; Bacillati; Mycoplasmatota; Mollicutes; Acholeplasmatales; Acholeplasmataceae. The record is from RNAcentral.